This 496-nucleotide ribosomal RNA is filed under the name uncultured bacterium. Its description in RNAcentral is "partial 16S ribosomal RNA". It matches the Rfam family "Bacterial small subunit ribosomal RNA", at positions 30 to 508 of the family's 1533-position model. The record is from RNAcentral.
AUGAACGCUGGCGGCGUGCCUAAUACAUGCAAGUCGAGCGAACGGACGAGAAGCUUGCUUCUCUGAUGUUAGCGGCGGACGGGUGAGUAACACGUGGAUAACCUACCUAUAAGACUGGGAUAACUUCGGGAAACCGGAGCUAAUACCGGAUAAUAUUUUGAACCGCAUGGUUCAAAAGUGAAAGACGGUCUUGCUGUCACUUAUAGAUGGAUCCGCGCUGCAUUAGCUAGUUGGUAAGGUAACGGCUUACCAAGGCAACGAUGCAUAGCCGACCUGAGAGGGGGGGGGGCAAAAGGGGACCGGGGACAGGGCCCAGCCCCCGGGGGGAGGAAGAAGGAGGAAUUUUUCGGAAAGGGGGGAAGGCCGGAAGAAGCAACGCGGGGGGAGGAAUAAAGGUUUUCGGAUCUAAAAACUUUUUAAUGGGGAAAAAAAAGAUGGAAAAGUAACUGUACACAUCUGGAGGGUACCUAAUAAGAAAGCCACGGUAAAAGACGGC